This is a non-coding RNA of Pelobates cultripes (western spadefoot toad), 173 nucleotides long. The record is from the annotation of a GenBank genome assembly. Lineage: Eukaryota; Metazoa; Chordata; Amphibia; Anura; Pelobatidae.
CAGCAGACACAUUCCAGCCAAUCAGCAGCAGACCCUCCCUCCCAGACCUUCCCACCUCCUGGACAGCAUCCAUUUUACAUUCAUUGUGAAGCUGCAUUCUUAGUGAGCUGUCCAGGAGGUGGAAGGGUCUGGGAGGGAGGGUCUGCUGCUGAUUGGCUGGAAUGUGUCUGCUG